RNAcentral lists this small nucleolar RNA (268 nucleotides) under Pichia kudriavzevii. RNAcentral's name for it is "Small nucleolar RNA snR191". It matches the Rfam family "Small nucleolar RNA snR191". The record is from Rfam by way of RNAcentral. Lineage: Eukaryota; Fungi; Ascomycota; Pichiomycetes; Pichiales; Pichiaceae.
ACCCAACGAUUUUGUCAGGAUAUUCUAUUAGUAGUCCAUCACCAGUGAUAGAUUGCGUUUAUUUCUCAGUAUAGAUUGUCUGUUACAUCGUUGGAAGAUUGAAGAGCAUCGCCCGGCCAUGAUUCCCGUUUUGGGAUGCUUUGGUCAUCGAGACUUCGUUUUGAAGUGUCACUCCAGAUGUUUGGUGAAUUCUAUGAGUUGAACAUAGACUUUUGUGGCUUGUUCACAGUAAUCAAUGUCUUUGUUCGUAGUAAGAAAUCACACAUUC